Molecule: long non-coding RNA, 2222 nt
Organism: Mangifera indica (mango)
Lineage: Eukaryota; Viridiplantae; Streptophyta; Magnoliopsida; Sapindales; Anacardiaceae
Exons: 3
Source: RefSeq, a predicted model, not a curated record
UUCGUCUUUCUUUGACUCUUUUAUGAUUUUCCAUUUUUCAGUUUAUACUGAAGUUAUUUCAUUAUUGUCAAUAGAAGUUAUUUUGCUUUAGUGGUGUAGCUUCUCCUCCCCUGGAUUGAAAAAUAAGUAUUAUGAAAAGAACUGGUGUGUUUACAUCUCAAACUUCCUCAAAUUAGUUGAUAAAAAACCCUUUUAUUUUUUUUUGGCUAGAGUGGUGUUGCUUCUCCUGUUGUAGUUCCUCAUUGUGUUUUUGCCUGGAAGGGAAUGGUUUGUUGCUGCUGGGUUGGCUCCUCCCGGCCUUGAGUUUUUCAGUGUCUAUAACAUUCUUUUUGUAGUGUGUUUGUUUUUGUAAGUUGCCUUUCUCUGUAUUUUUUUGGCUUAGUGUUCGUUCCAUUUAUUGUGGCUUAUUUGAUGGACAAGAUAUUGCAGGUGAAUUUUGUUUUUUUUUUUUUUCCACUGUUGUUAACAACCCAAUCUUUGAUUUGAAUCCUAUGUGAUCAUAAUGUUUAAUUAUAGGCGAUUGUCUUGAAUUUACUUGACUUGGGUAAUAUCAUUUCACUAGUUUGUUACUUGCAUUAAUCGCACAAUAUUCAUUAAUAUUACUACUUAGAUUAAUUUAGUUAAUUAUGUAAUGUUUAAUUUGUACAUAUACAUGAACUUCAAGGGAUUAGUUUUUCAUGUCUUAUUCAUUUUAGGCUAGUGUUAGAGAAUGUUUCUUGAGUUCAUUAGAGGAGGACAUUAUUCCAUCACUGUCCAUUGCUAGGAGUAAUUGGCUGGAGCUACUGUCAAAGCCUAUCUCUAAGAAAUAUUACAUUGAUUAUGUUAAAAUGGCGUAAUGGCUUAUGAAUGCAGGAGACACUUGACUUACAAGCCUGCCAAUUGCAUCUAACCUUUGUGUAGGUUGGCAUUGUUCAUGCUAUCAAUAAGCUUCAUAGUGAUCCACCGGGUUUGAACUUAGCUGUAUCCCUUCACGCACCAGUUCGAGAGUUUGCUGCCAGAUAAUGCCUGCAGCUCGAGCUUUUCCUCUGGAAAAUCUUAUGAAUGCACUUCAUGUAUAUCAAAAGAAUAAGUUGCAAUUGAUUCACAAAUGUUUCUUGAAAAUUAAUUUGCAAUUCUCUCUCUGUGACUCUCCCCCUGUCUUUUUGUGAAAUAUUUCAGAUUUUAGCUCAUUUUUUAAUCUUAAACUUUCAGUCAGCAGAAAAUAUUUAUUGAGUACAUCAUGGUGGAUAAGGUGAAUGAUGAAGAGCCACAUGCUCACCAGCUUGGCAAACUGCUAGGGACAUAUCAAGUGGUUGAAUGAAUUUUUUUAAUUGCUUCCUUGGACUUGAAGAAGAUGACCCCAAGGAUGAAGUAGUUUCUAGAACUGGUGAAUCUGACAUAGAAUAGUGCACAUCAUGCGCCACAUUUUUCACCUCUCUGUUGUGAUUGGCCUCAGGUUGAGACUCCAAAUCAUUGUCACUAUCAAGAUUCAGUAAGCAAUCCAUGGUGGUGUCAGAAAGCCUUCUUGGAAAUAGCACAGAGCGAUUGAGAACAUCAACAAACCAAGUUCUGAUUUUGCAUCAUCAAGAAGCAAUCCCAUAGAGGCUGCUGUUUCAGGCUUGUUGAAGAAAAGAAACAAACAAAUCAGUGUAGAAGAUAAAGAAGUUGACGCUGAUGUUAUCCGGUCAUAUUCUUUGAGACAAGAGAAUCAAGGUCUUCAUUAGCAAGCUGGUAUUUUAUUGAGAAGCUUCGGCCAUGGAGAAGAGAGAGAGGUGGGUGCAAAGAGAGGAUCGUGAUGAGUGGCGGUGAACCACCACAAGACUGUUAGCCCAAAUGUGGUUUGCUGCGAGUUUAGAAGGAGAAUUUUAGAUAGGCGGUGUGCAUGUUUUUUGAUUCUUAGAGAGGCGGCUGCAACUUGUAUAAGGCUGGAGCAAAAUUGUGGAAUCUUUUGGAGGUAGAUUUCUAGAGAGAUAGACGGUGCAUUUACUCAACAGAGAUGUGUGUUUCUGACUAUGUAGCUGAGGGAUUUGUCGUGGGGGCCGGGGAUAAUAUGAUCGCCAAAGCUGCACAUUAGUAGGAGUUUGGCACCAGGGACUGGUGGCAAAGGGUCAUCCCUUGCCUGCCCUUUGCCAUCUCUAGUUCCACUCUGCUCACAUAAUCUGCCUUUUUGGAAGACUGAUGAUAACUGCUAGAGAAGCUUGGAGGGCAUGUUGCCUGCAAAUUAUAUCCUAAUAACUGCAAGA